AUAAAACCAGGAGGAGGAGGAGAAGGAGGAGGAGGAGGAGGAGGAACAUAGAGAACACAAGAAAACAAGACAACAACAACAACAAAGAAAACUAAACACAGAAAAAAUAGCUCAGAAAAAAAAGUUAACCAUAAAGAAAAACGUAAAGAAAACAGACAAAAGACAGAAGCAACGUAAAAAAUAAAGAAAGUAGAAAAAAGGAGGAGGAGGAGGAGGAGGAGGAGGAAAAAGAGGAAGGAGGAAGGACAAAACAAAACAAAACAAAAAACAAGAGGAAACCAGAGUAAAAACAAAAGAAAACAGAUCCAAUAUAUACGUGUGUGUGUGAUGAUAAUGGCGAUGUGUGAUACAAAUGCUAUAUACAUACUUCAUCUGCAUCCUUAUCCCUGCCUGCUUAAGAAUACACAGCUGCCACACGCCAUGCAGCAGACAAGCGUUCAGAGCAGAAGCGUGAGUGUCCGGGCCAAACAAGCGCCUACAUGCUAGAGGGACAGUCUGCUAGAGAGGGGGAGAGAGGGACGGGGGACGGAGGGAGGGAGAGAGGGCCUACUACAGUGCCAUUCCUUCAAAGAGAGUGCCGGGAGGGUGCCAGAAAGAUGGUGCCAGACAAGUAAGUGUGUGAGGUGCGAAGUGGAGAAGAGGGUCAAGAGGAAGUGGAGAGGUGGAUGAGGGGAAGGUAUGAAGAUGCGUGAUGAGGUGUGAGGUUGCCGUGGGUGGUGAUGGGGGCGUGAAGGUGCUAUUGAGGUGCAAGGUGGAGGUGCGUGGGGGGGUGUAGGAGGCAAGGUGAGGUGCCAAGUGCCAAGUCGGAUGUGAGGUGCCUGGGGGGGUUGCAUGGAGGAGUGGUGGUUGUGAGAGGGGGAGGAGGUGACGGGAUGUGAUGGGUGAUGGGAAUGACGGAGCAUGAUAACUAGGCGGUGCUUCAAGAGUGCCAGAGAGAGGUGCCAGGCUUGAGGUGAGGUGAGGUGAAAUGAGGUGCCAGAAGGAAGAGGAGGAGGAGGAGGAGGUGAAGGAAACUAAGAGGCUGUGUGAGUGCUUCGUGAGGUAUGAGGAGAAGGAAGAGGAAGAAGAAGAAGAGAAGUAGGAGUCAAGAACGUGCCAACACUUUCGUUCAUCAUCAGUCAAUCAGUGAAGUAACGUGAAUCGAGAGAAAAAAACAAAAACAAAACCACAAAUGAACGAGUAAUAACAUCAACUUGAACAUGGAGGUUGGUAAGUAAGUAAGUAGGUGAGUAUCAAGUAAAUAACAACAGCAACAACUGGUCGGUGGUGGUGGAGGUCUUUACAGCAGUUAUCCAUUGAAGGGGUGGCAGCAAGACGGGAUCGAGGGCAGUUAAGGCAUCGGGGUGGAAAGUCCGACUCUGCCUCACUGGAGAGUAAAACGACACCUGAGAGAGAGGACUGAGGAAGGAGGGAGUGAGCGAGGGAGUGAGGGAGUCAGAGUGUAUGUGUGUGUGCGUGUGUCAGGGAGGAGGAGGAGGAGAAGGAGGGAGGAGGUGCAGGUGGUAUAUUGUAAGUGGUGGUGAUUGUGGUGGUGGUGGUGCGAGAGGGUGGUGGAAGAGGUGGUUGGUGCGGUGAUGUAGUGGUGGUGGUGGUGGAGUAGUGGUGGUGGUGGUGCGGUGAGGAAGAGGUGGAAUAGUAGUGGUAGUAUAGUGGUAGAAGUAGUCGUGGAGGUGGUAAUAGAGUAGUGGAGUAGAGGUAGUAGUGAUAAGAGUAGUGGUGGAGUAGAGGUAGUGGUGACAGUAAUGGUGGUGGUGGUGGUAAUAGAGUAGUGAAGGAGUAGAGGUAGUGGUGACAGAGUAGUGGUGGGGUAGAGGUAGUGGUGACAGAGUAGUGGUGGGGUAGAGGUAGUGGUGACAGAGUAGUGGUGGGGUAGAGGUAGUGGUGACAGAGUAGUGGUGGGAUAGAGGUAGUGGUGAUAUGUAGUGGUAGGGUAGAGAUAGUGGUGACAGAGUAGUGGUGGGAUAGAGGUAGUGGUGAUAUGUAGUGGUGGGAUAGAGGUAGUGGUGAUAUAUAGUGGUGGGAUAGAGGUAGUGAUGAUAGAGUAGUGGUGGGGUAAAGGUAGUGGUGAUAAGAGUAGUGGUGGGGUAGAGGUAGUGGUGACAGAGUAGUGGUGGGGUAGAAGUAGUGGUGAUAAGAGUAGUGGUGGAGUAGAGAUAGUGGUGACAGUAGUGGUGGAGUAGAGGUAGUGAUGAUCGAGUAAUGGUGGGGUAGAGGUAGUGGUGACAGAGUAGUGGUGGGAUAGAUGUAGUGGUGAUAUGUAGUGGUAGGGUAGAGGUAGUCGUGACAGAGUAGUGGUGGGAUAGAGGUAAUGGUGAUAUGUAGUGGUGGGAUAGAGGUAGUGGUGAUAUGUAGUGGUGGGGUAGAGGUAGUGGUGGCAGAGUAGUGGUGGAGUAGAGAUAGUGGUGACAGUAGUGGUGGAGUAGAGGUAGUGAUGAUAGAGUAGUGGUGGGGUAGAGGUAGUGGUGAUAAGAGUAGUGGUGGGGUAGAGGUAGUGGUGACAGAGUAGUGGUGGGGUAGAGGUAAUGGUGACAGAGUAGUGGUGGGGUAGAGGUAGUGGUGACAGAGUAGUGGUGGGGUAGAGGUAGUGGUGACAGAGUAGUGGUGGGGUAGAGGUAGUGGUGACAGAGUAGUGGUGGGGUAGAGGUAGUGGUGAGAGAGUAGUGGUGGGGUAGAGGUAGUGAUGACAGAGUAGUGAUGGGGUAGAGGUAGUGGUGAUAAGAGUA
Molecule: long non-coding RNA, 2723 nt
Organism: Eriocheir sinensis (Chinese mitten crab)
Lineage: Eukaryota; Metazoa; Arthropoda; Malacostraca; Decapoda; Varunidae
Exons: 5
Source: RefSeq, a predicted model, not a curated record